UACGGGGGGGGCAAGCGUUGUUCGGAAUUACUGGGCGUAAAGGGCGUGUAGGCGGCCAACUAAGUCCGACGUGAAAUCCCCAGGCUUAACCUGGGAACUGCGUCGGAUACUGGAUGGCUUGAAUCCGGGAGAGGGAUGCAGAAUUCCAGGUGUAGCGGUGAAAUGCGUAGAUAUCUGGAGGAACACCGGUGGCGAAGGCGGCAUCCUGGACCGGUAUUGACGCUGAGGCGCGAAAGCCAGGGGAGCAAACGGG
RNAcentral lists this ribosomal RNA (253 nucleotides) under uncultured bacterium. Its description in RNAcentral is "partial 16S ribosomal RNA". It matches the Rfam family "Bacterial small subunit ribosomal RNA", at positions 524 to 776 of the family's 1533-position model. The record is from RNAcentral.